CAGGCCGGUGUCGAGCCGCGCGGCCCGCCUGCCCGACGGUUCUGAGAAAGCGCCGCGGCCCCCGCAGCCCACCCUUACCCCCGCGGCCAGCCGGGAUCCGAAAUGUCAGCGCCCCGAAACCUGUCCACGCGGAUGGCGGAGGCCGGGACCGGGUCAUUCAUCUCUGCAUCCCCAGGUCCUGCGCAGAGCUGUGAGAGAAUCAUACUGGAAGCCCCUUUGGGGAGUGAGCUAUGGUGUCACUCGGGAACGCCAGCUGUGCAACAAAAAAACGUUCCCUUUCUGCCAUCAGGAGUGGCACCAAAAGCCACGCAGCAAGUGCUAUGCUCUGAGGUGGGGCUUUCUCACAUCCACGCACUUCUGCAGUUAAUAUCAUUAAAACCCCCAGGUCUGUG
Long non-coding RNA from Orcinus orca (killer whale), 392 nucleotides. RefSeq lists it as uncharacterized. The record is from RefSeq and is a predicted model, not a curated record. Lineage: Eukaryota; Metazoa; Chordata; Mammalia; Artiodactyla; Delphinidae. The transcript is spliced from 2 exons.